CGGACGGGUGAGUAACACGUGGAUAACCUACCUAUAAGACUGGGAUAACUUCGGGAAACCGGAGCUAAUACCGGAUAAUAUAUUGAACCGCAUGGUUCAAUAGUGAAAGACGGUUUUGCUGUCACUUAUAGAUGGAUCCGCGCGCAUUAGCUAGUUGGUAAGGUAACGGCUUACCAAGGCAACGAUGCGUAGCCGACCUGAGAGGGUGAUCGGCCACACUGGAACUGAGACACGGUCCAGACUCCUACGGGAGGCAGCAGCU
This 262-nucleotide ribosomal RNA is filed under the name uncultured Staphylococcus sp. RNAcentral's name for it is "partial 16S ribosomal RNA". It matches the Rfam family "Bacterial small subunit ribosomal RNA", at positions 99 to 355 of the family's 1533-position model. The record is from RNAcentral. Lineage: Bacteria; Bacillati; Bacillota; Bacilli; Caryophanales; Staphylococcaceae.